This 1442-nucleotide long non-coding RNA is filed under the name Salvator merianae (Argentine black and white tegu). RNAcentral's name for it is "lncRNA (ENSSMRG00000000544.1)". Lineage: Eukaryota; Metazoa; Chordata; Lepidosauria; Squamata; Teiidae. The record is from RNAcentral.
UCCUGGUAACACAGUGUUGCUGGCAACUCUCUCCUCCCUCAGAUGUGCACUGCCCCAGAUCACUGAGCUGGAGGUCCAGGAAGGACAAAUGCUUCUUCCUUGUCCUGGAAGCUGCCCUUGAAUGGAGCCAAGCACUGAGGUUCUGCCAGAGGUUCCAUGGCGGGAGUCUGAUCACCCUCAGCAGCCCGCAGGACCUGAUCUGGUUGCAAGAUGAGCUGGAAGUGAGUGCCUGGACUGGGCUACACACCACUGGCAAAGGUCUGUGGCACUGGGCUGACGGGAGUCCCUUCAACAAAGCUUUGCAACGCUUCAUUUUCUCCCAGGGAACCUUUGGGAGGAUGAUCUGCAUGCUUGCUCUGAGUUCUGGCUUGCUGAAGGCUGAGCCGUGCCACAGACCUCACCGGUGGAUAUGCCAGGCCCCACGCCAGAUUGAUUUAUAUACGAAGUUCCCAGGAAAAUCCUUCUAUGGUGACCUGUCUGUGGAGGGGAGCUUCCCUUCCCUGCUGGCCGCUGAGCAGCAAUGCACGGCUUUGGGCCAGGGCUGUGACAUCCUCCUUAGCAGCAAAGGGGACUAUUACCUUGCCGUGGGGACACGCUUUGUCUCCCUGGACGACACAGAGGCCAGCGCAGCAACUGCUAUCCAUGUCAAGACGAGAUGCUCCCCUGGCUAUUCAGGGGAUGACUGUCAAUCUGCAUGCUGCCACUGCACGCCAGGCCUGAGUUGCAAUCCCCUGACAGGCCUCUGCGAUGGCUUCCUGGUGUACCAGGAGGAAACAGACAUGGAGCUGCCAUCCUUUUGGGAAAAACUCCUGAUCUCCUCUCAGGGCCUGAGUCUGCAGCAGAAGCGUGCAUCCCUGCAGGAGGCCCAGGACAUCUGCUACCUGCAGAAGGAAGCCUGCACAGGGAUGCUGCACCUGCAGGGUGCCCACUACAUCGUGUCAGGGACAGUGCUGGUGGAGAGCCCUGGUUCAGGCGCCCUCCUCUAUGUCAAGGCAGCUUGUUCCCCAGGCUUUUGUGGGCUGCACUGCCAGACGCGCUGUCCCCCGUGCUUGAGAACACACACCUACAACCCCCUGACUGGCCAGUGCGAUGGCCUCCUGAGCUGCGUGCGUCACUUCAGCCCUGCCUGUCUUCACGGUUUGGUGCACAAAAGAUGUCCACAGCAUCCUGGCUGGUGGUUCUGGGGUGGCCACUGCUACUACGUGGAGGAGCAGAGCAGAGACACUUGGUGGGGGGCCCAAGCCACCUGCCAGGCACAUGGCAAACACGUGGGCCUCUUGACCCUCAGCAGCCCCGAGGAAAAGGCCUGGGUGGCUGCCAUGGUACAGGAGGACAGCUGGGUGGGACUGAACGAUGGUGACAAAGAUGGCAUCUGGACCUGGGCUGGGGGCCAGGUGGCUGAUCUUUAUUCCCCCUGCACCUUGGAGCUCCUGCCCAGCUGA